GUUUCUGACUGCUAAGACAUGAUUCUGGCCUUCACCUAAAGCAUGUAUCUAGCAAUCUCAAGGUGUUGAGUGACAGAAGAGAUAAUGGCUGACAUGAGAGCAACGGAGCAGCGUGGCAGUCGUUCAAGCUUAACCAACCUUCUGGACAUUCUGGUUUGGAGCACUCAGCUACCAGUUCUACAUAACAAAUUUCUCUCAAGGUACCACUGAAAGAACAGAGGUAAUGCUCAUAUGCUGCAAUGUUGUAUUAUUAAUGUAAACAGAUUUGCAAUUGUAUUUUGUUGAUUCAUAUGUUUUGGUUAUACUUUGAAGAUUCCAUGUAGGAGAUAUAAUUUUUUAUUUAUUGAGAGUUGUAGAUAGGCAGGCUAUAGUUAUGACUAUAGGGGAAUAGCUUCGAGCAUUCUAUACUGCCAUGAGUUUUGGGCCAAAUGCUGUAAUUUUAUCAGAUCCUUGUGAUAUAAUAAGAUCAUGUUACUUUAAUGUUCCUGGAGCAACAUUCUUGUAGUACAAACUUCAAUUUCAGAAAUUUUCGUUGAACUUGGAUGUU
Molecule: non-coding RNA, 547 nt
Organism: Musa acuminata subsp. malaccensis (wild Malaysian banana)
Lineage: Eukaryota; Viridiplantae; Streptophyta; Magnoliopsida; Zingiberales; Musaceae
Source: RefSeq, a predicted model, not a curated record